RNAcentral lists this transfer RNA (76 nucleotides) under Nocardioides lianchengensis. Its description in RNAcentral is "tRNA-Thr". It matches the Rfam family "tRNA". From Rfam's summary of the family: Transfer RNA (tRNA) molecules are approximately 80 nucleotides in length. Their secondary structure includes four short double-helical elements and three loops (D, anti-codon, and T loops). Further hydrogen bonds mediate the characteristic L-shaped molecular structure. tRNAs have two regions of fundamental functional importance: the anti-codon, which is responsible for specific mRNA codon recognition, and the 3' end, to which the tRNAs corresponding amino acid is attached (by aminoacyl-tRNA synthetases). tRNAs cope with the degeneracy of the genetic code in two manners: having more than one tRNA (with a specific anti-codon) for a particular amino acid; and 'wobble' base-pairing, i.e. permitting non-standard base-pairing at the 3rd anti-codon position. Lineage: Bacteria; Bacillati; Actinomycetota; Actinomycetes; Propionibacteriales; Nocardioidaceae. RNAcentral also lists the same sequence under 2 other names. The record is from RNAcentral.
GCCGGUGUAGCUCAGUAGGUAGAGCGCCUCUCUUGUAAAGAGGAUGUCGCGGGUUCGACUCCUGUCACCGGCUCCA